RNAcentral lists this long non-coding RNA (204 nucleotides) under Vigna radiata. Its description in RNAcentral is "long non-coding RNA (VRAD_LNC007272)". The record is from RNAcentral. Lineage: Eukaryota; Viridiplantae; Streptophyta; Magnoliopsida; Fabales; Fabaceae.
UUGAAUGAUGAAAUAGUACAGGCCAGAGUUCUAAGCCAUAUUACUAAUCAACACACCGAAACAAGACCCUUUUGGAGUUUGAAGCGACUCAAAAUGUUCAAACAUAGAGAGCAGUUAAAAAGUCCGAAUGCUGUUGUCACUAAAAAUAUGGAUGAUCAUGGAUUAAAAAUAUUUUACAACCUCCCUGUAUCACGCAAACCAUGC